GAGAUGUGCACAUAGAAUUCUUAGGAAAGUUAAGUCCUUUAAUAAAGAUGUCAAGAACAUCCAGGAAGAAUCAAAACAACCUUCCUCACCCACACUGAGAAUUGAUAAUCA
Mustela erminea (ermine) is the source of this 111-nucleotide long non-coding RNA. RefSeq lists it as uncharacterized. The transcript has 3 exons. NCBI's taxonomy places the organism in Eukaryota, Metazoa, Chordata, Mammalia, Carnivora, Mustelidae. The record is from RefSeq and is a predicted model, not a curated record.